GCAGAGUAGGCAUAUGCGCGUUAAGUGCUGGCUGUACAGGGAGUUGACAGCCGGACGAAAAGAAUUUCUUGCGGUGCACAUGCCGCAUCCCGCUGC
This 96-nucleotide non-coding RNA is filed under the name uncultured Lachnoclostridium sp. RNAcentral's name for it is "THF riboswitch". It matches the Rfam family "THF (Tetrahydrofolate) riboswitch aptamer". Rfam says of the family: THF riboswitch presents a pseudoknot that joins P1-P2 and the loop of P3 and two THF binding. The record is from RNAcentral. Lineage: Bacteria; Bacillati; Bacillota; Clostridia; Lachnospirales; Lachnospiraceae.